Molecule: long non-coding RNA, 464 nt
Filed under: Phoenix dactylifera (date palm)
Lineage: Eukaryota; Viridiplantae; Streptophyta; Magnoliopsida; Arecales; Arecaceae
Description: long non-coding RNA (PDAC_LNC001411)
Source: RNAcentral
ACUUGAUUCGUAUUAUCAAUCCAGAAACUGCAAAACUUAUCAGGGAAUGGGGUGAAAUAAAAAAAACAUAUUUCGAUUACCCAAGGAGAUGAAUCUGCGAGAACUAUAUACAAGUCAAGCUUCGGAGUUUCUGGUUUUUUGCACACUCCUCCUGCAAUGUAUUAGAAUAAAAAAAACUUAAGAUGUGAACCAUCUGCCAGCAGGGACAUGGAAUGCUGACAGGGAAGCAACCAGCAAACGAAAGAACUUGUGCUAGAGUAUUCACUCCUGGUAACAUCCCAAGUAAAAAAUGAAGACAAUCUGCAAACAUUUUUUAGAGUGGUUUUAAACGAAAUGCAAACGCGUUCGGGCUGAGUAUGGGCCGCGUUCGGGCUGAGUAUGGGCGCGGGCUUGGGUCGGGCCCGGGCCGGGCCAAUGAGAUACCCGAGCCCGGCCCGAAAUAGAAAUGGGCUUAAUUAUUCAGC